AGUGAACGCUGGCGGCGUGCCUAAUACAUGCAAGUCGAACGGAGUGACGCACGGGUGAGUAAUGUAUAGCUAAUCUUCCCUACACUAGAAGGCAACAGCUGGUGACGACUGCUAAUACUCCCUAGUGUAGGAUGAGGCUAUAUAGUAUCACCUAGUUGGUGAGGUAGUGGCUCACCAAGGCGAUGACCCAUAACUGGUCUGCGAGGAUGAUCAGUCACCCGGGAACGGAGACACGGUCCAGGCUCCUUCGGGAGGGAGCAGUAGCGUAUAUUGCCCAAGGGGGGAGACCGUGAAGCAGCAUCGCCGCGUGGAGGAUGACACUUGUGGGAGCGUAAACUCCUUUUGUUAGGGAAGCGGUACCUAACGAAUAAGCACCGGCUAACUCCGUGCCAGCAGCCGCGGUAAUUC
Molecule: ribosomal RNA, 408 nt
Filed under: uncultured bacterium
Lineage: Bacteria
Description: partial 16S ribosomal RNA
Rfam family: Bacterial small subunit ribosomal RNA
Source: RNAcentral